UGAGGAAUAUUGGUCAAUGGGCGGGAGCCUGAACCAGCCAAGCCGCGUGAAGGAAGAAGGCGCUAAGCGUCGUAAACAUCUUUUGUCGGGGAACAAAGGUCCGGACGUGUCCGGAUGAGAGUGUACCCGAAGAAAAAGCAUCGGCUAACUCCGUGCCAGCAGCCGCGGUAAUACGGAGGAUGCGAGCGUUAUCCGGAUUUAUUGGGUUUAAAGGGUGCGUAGGCGGUCUGUUAAGUCAGCGGUAAAAGCCCGGGCUCAACCCGCGAGCGUGAAUACUGGCGGACUAGAGAGGGCGAGAAGUACGCGGAAUGCGCAGUGUAGCGGUGAAAUGCAUAGAUAUUGCGCAGAACUCCGAUUGCGAAGGCAGCGUAACCGGCGCCUUUCUGACGCUGAGGCACGAAAGCGUGGGUAUCGAACAGGAUUAGAUACC
RNAcentral lists this ribosomal RNA (430 nucleotides) under uncultured bacterium. Its description in RNAcentral is "bacterial SSU rRNA". It matches the Rfam family "Bacterial small subunit ribosomal RNA", at positions 355 to 786 of the family's 1533-position model. The record is from RNAcentral.